ACACAGCUAGUGCUAUCAUGUUCAUUUUAGACUAAUUAGGCUGUUGGGUCACAUGAAUUCAUCUAUUACCUAAUUUAAUUAUUUCAACAUCCCUCUGGGUUAGGAUUCACUGCAGUCAGUUUACAUAGCAGAGAACAGGCCAACAUCACCCAAUUAACCAAAGUUCUUUCCAGCCCAAACCCAUAUCCUGAAUAUCUUGCUAUGCUGCAAAGAUGCUUUUCAAUGAUAAUGAGCUUUAGAAUGUCAGUUAUGAUUAGGGGAUUUCUGCCAAAUGGAAGAGUCACAUUUGGUGUGUAGAGGUCCAGGGUGCUAAGGAAAAGGCAGGCUUCUGAGGCCAUCCUCUCUCUCAGACCUUCUGGAGGGCAAACCGGAACCUUUGUGAUAUAGCUGUUGGUGCUUCUGGUCCUGAACAGAAAGGAUAUGGAGAGAGGUUUCCUGCCUGGUAACACCAUAGAAUCGGCACCACGAGUGGAAGGACCAGGGACUGCCCACAUCAGUGCAUCGCCUCAACUGAGUCGACCUCCAUGGCUGCCACGCCCUCCCCACCAGCUUCUGAUGGUGACGAUGUUGGUGAGCGGUUUGCAGGGGCUGAACAGAGAGGCGACCACAAGUGAAGCUCACCCAUGGGCUACCCUGGCCCACUGAAGCAGAAGAGAAAUGUACCCCGUCUGCCAUGCGCCUGGCAACUCGUAAGGUAUUUCUGCACCUAUCAGCAAAUUCCAACUUCACCCAACCCUGUGAAGGAGGCUUCCAUCUGCUUCAUCAUUUUGCAGAUGCUGAGAGUUUAAGUGACUUGAACGUGGUCACACAGAAUCUUUUCAUUACACCCCACUGCCUCCCUCAGCACUCAGUGGAUAUAGAUUGAUGACAGCAACUGAGUAUUAGACUGGAAAGCAGCCCGGCGGGCCUCCUGCGGCUGAGACGCCAGUGACUUCAGCCCUGCUCAAGGUCCUUUUUCACCAGCCACUGGGCUCCCUGGGGCUGGGCCCAGGUCUGCUUGUGACCUGGUAAAAUCCAAGCUUAAAGCAGUUCUCCUUUUGACUCUCUCUGAGCUCUGUCUCCUCCCAGCUUCCCUGGUCUAGGAGUGAGCCCUACAUAUCAAUUUUCACUGAUGAGACUGACCCAGGCAGAGUUUGCACUCAGCUCCUCUGCUUACUGGCUGUGUGCCCCCAGGUAAGUAACUUAGCUUUUCUGAGCCAAAGUUUCCCCAUCUGCUUAAAUGAAGGGGUGGUCCUAAUGAAUCCUAGUCCCUGGGGUGAUGGGGCCCUGGAGUUGCAGUUCGUUUGCAAGGGACACCCUUUAUAAGUGCUGUCCUCUUGCGCAGCAUUGGGCACUCCUUCGGAGGGGGUGGGCAUCACAUAGAGUCUCUAAGUCUGGGGCUUGGAGAAGGAUCAUACUGGCAAUGGAGAAGGGAAGGCACUUGUAUCCUCCCCUCUGCUGGCUCCAGCAAAGCUCAGGCAUUCUGCCACCUGCCCCAUAAAACAGUCUUAGGUGUUUGCCCUGGGACUGUGACUAACAUUUCCAUAGGUGUCUGCCCUGGGACUGUGACUAACCUGAAGCACCCAGCUUCUGUUGUAAGAGCUCCCAUCUGAAACCCAGUAGCUGGCUCUUUAGGCUACUAGAAGAAUCCUUCUAGGUUGCCUUGGGGUAUGCGGACAUGGGGAUUCAUUAGGGCUCUUUUUCUCGCUACUCGAUGGCAUCCUUUGGUGCCAGCUCACCAGGGCCUCGGGAGGCUGGGAGGGGCAGGGCACACUGAGGAGAAGUUCCCCCCUUCUUCACACCACCUACCAGCCCUUGGUUACUGGAAAGAGCAAAUGCAAAUGGAUCCAAAGCACAAUACCCAGAAUACACUGCCACGCUUCCUAGGGGCUCACUGUGAGUUAAAGCUGGGCUCCUCCUGGGGGCUGACAUUUUCCUUGGUUCAAACAACAUCUGCGCCUUGCCAAGCUGGGCAAAAGGUGAGAGAGCCAGUUACUGCCACUGUAGACUCAAGUAAAACAGAAAACCUAGCUACACAAGGUCCCUCCUACCUGGAAGGGGUGCUGGGUCCACACACACACUCACGCACAUGCACGCAUGCAUGCUCCCCCGACCAAUGCACUCUCAUGAGUACCUCACACACACACAGGCACACAUGCAUGUUCACAAGUCCUCCUUACACACACAUAUGCAUACUUAAGAGUACCUCACACACUCACACUUGCACACUUACAGAUCCCCUCACACUUGCAAACCCAGUAGGCACAUUGCCACUUAUGUACAGACACACAUGCAUGCCUUUUCAGGAACCUCAGGCCCACUCACACAUGCACACAUUCAUGCAUGCCUGUGUCCACCACAGACAACACACAGACUCUUGUGAACUAGAGGAGGGGAUUGAUAGUCUCCCUCUCCACCCCCCACUCCCCAGAUUCAGCAGACCCAGCAAAGGCUGCUGAGAAUUUGAAAUAAAAGGCCAUCUUCCCCUCCAGGCUUCAGGCCAAAUCUCCAAAUGAAAUCAGGCCAGGGAGAAAUGAACAACUGAGAUGCACAAAACAAUGCGAAGAAGAAGCUCUGAAAAAAACCCGAAUAAUAAUAUAUAUAUAAAAAAAGGUGAGAGUUAUUUUUCAGCUCACUGGCUUUCUGAAAAGUAAUAUAAAGUUGGGCAGCGUCUUCUUGGAAUCGACCUUUCUGAGCCGAGACCCAGGCCACACGCACAUCUCUUUCCUCUCUUUCUAUUACCCGAGAUUUGUAUGGUUUCAUCUCCUCUGAUUUUCUUUCGUUUGUGCGCCUGUGCAAACCCCUUGUGUCAGGGGCUUGUUACUAACCUGGCAGCACCGGCCUGCUGGGAGCCCCUUCUCCCUUGGCCUCCUGCAGGGCUGAGAAUUGAGAGUCUGCUCAGUUCUGCUCCCCUCAAUGCCCAGGAGGGGCUGUAGACCUCCUCCCUACCCGACUCUUCCACUUACCUGGCCUCCCAGCCUUCUUUGUUUCUAAGAAAAUUCUCUCACAUACUUUUCACUCAACCAGGGCUGUAAAGGAGAGCCUGGAUGGGCUGAGGGGCCCCAGGUGCUGGAGCCCAGAGCCUUGCUCAGGGCCUGGUGCAGGUAGGAGCAGAACAAAUAUUUAGCGAAGGCAUGAAAAAGCAGAUGAAUAAGCAAAUGCUUCUGCCUUUUUCGGGGGGAGGAGGGAAGAAAUUCCUAUUCUAAAAUUUCCAGGAAAAAGAUUUAGGAAGGGGGACCAGAAUAUUAAAGUGAUGAUAAUCCCUGGGGUUCUAAUCACUGCUCCUCUAGGAGUGAGACUCGGAGGACUUAUAGAAAGGUGUCCCCUACACCUUUCUCCCCUGUCGCCUCCCCUCCAAGAUAACACUCAUAUGCACAGACACACAAUGAGAGAACCUCAAACACAUCCACAGAGUACACACACACGCAUCACAGACACAUGCACAUCAGCACACACACACACCCCUCACACAUCCACAGAAUACACACACACACACACACCCCUCAGACAUACCCACAUAGGUACACACACAUCCCUCAGACACACCCAGAUAGAUACACACACACACCCCUCAGACACACCCACAUAGGUACACACACACUCCUCAGACAGCCAGAUAGGUACACGCACACACCCCUCAGACACACCCAGCUAGAUACACGCACACACCCCUCAGACACACCCAGAUAGAUACACGCACACACCCCUCAGACACACCCAGAUACACCCCUCAGACAGCCAGAUAGAUACACGCACACACCCCUCAGACACACCCACAUAGGUACACACACACCCCUCAGACAGCCAGAUAGGUACACACACACCCCUCAGACACACCCACAUAGGUACACACACACCCCUCAGACAGCCAGAUAGAUACAUGCACACACCUCUCAGACACACCCACAUAGGUACACACACACCCCUCAGACAGCCAGAUAGAUGCAUGCACACACCCCUCAGACAGCCAGAUAGGUACACGCACACACCCCUCAGACACACCCAGAUAGAUACACGCACACACCCCUCAGACACACCCAGAUACACCCCUCAGACAGCCAGAUAGAUACACGCACACCCCUCAGACACACCCACAUAGGUACAUGCACACACACCUCAGACAGCCAGAUAGAUACAUGCACACCCCUCAGACACACCCACAUAGGUAAACACACACACAGACACCCUCAGACACAUCCACAUAGGUGCACACACACACACCCCUCAGACACAUUCACAUAGGACACACACACCCCCCCAGACACAUCCACAUAGGUACGCACACACACACACCCCUCACACAUCCCCAUAGGUACACACACACACACGCCUCACACAUCCACAUAGGUACACACACACACCCCUCAGAUACAUCCACAAAGGUACACACACCCCCCCACUCAGAUGCAUUCACAUAGGUACACACACACCCCUCAGACACAUCCACAUAGGUACACACACACACAUUCCUCACAUAUCCACAUAAGUACACACACCCCCGACACACAUCCACAUAGGUACACACACAUACCCCUCAGACACAUUCACAUAGGUACACACACACCCCUCACACAUCCACAUAGAUACACACACAUGCACCCCUCAGACACAUUCACAGAUGUGAAUGCACAGAUGCACCACUCAAACAACAAAAAUGCAUACACCUCAAAUGUACAUGCAUAUGGUCCCCUCAGAUACAUAUGAGUGCAUGCAUCUCUAACACAUCCACCUAUGUACAUGCACAUGAACACACCUGUGUAUGCUUGCACGACGAACACAUCUGCAUAAGUAUAUGCUCAUGCAGUCCUCAGGCAUAUGAGUGCAUACACUUUACACACGUCCACACAGGUGCAUGCACAUGCACCCCUGAGACACACAUGUAUAUAUGCAUGCACCUCAAACACACUCAUGCAGUUACACACACAUGCACCUCUCAGACACACACACGUGUGUGGUCAUCUCCAACCUAUCGACAUAGACACAAACACAUGCAGUCCUCAAGUGCAAACGUGUGUACACAUCGUAAACAUGGACACUCAAACCCAUGUGUUUGCACAUCUCAAAUAGGUUUUCACAGAUACCCACAUGUACCGCUCAAAUAUAUCCACACAUACCGACACAUCUGAAACGUACACAAAUACACACAUACACAUGCACACAGGUGCAUAUGCCCUUUCCUUUGCAAGAGUGCCUUUUUGAGCAGUGCUAGUCACUUUUUAGUGACCUGUGUCCACUCUCAUCUACUUCCUGCCGUAAGGAUAUGGGUGCUUGAUGAUUUGCCUCUCUCUUGACUUCUGCAAUGAAAGAAUCAAACAUGGGGUGGCAGCCCCUGUGGCUUCUUUACUACACAGAUGAUUGAAGGGUGCCUACCUUAUCCCAGACUAGGGUGCAGUGGCUUCAACAGACCCACCUGGCACCUGCCUUGGGUUCAUUCAAGGGAGAUAGAAGAUCUCUGUAUGGAUGUACAUUGGAUAGGGAAAUGGGAGCAUGAGGAUGUAGGUAAAGCAAUUGAAUCUUUUCUCCAGAAGAAAGUAGGAAGAAAUAGCUAACUCUGAUGCCCAUCUCUGUUGCAGCCUCUAUCCUGACUCACACUUAGGGGUCAAAGCACAAGUGAGUUGCUGGAUCAGAGGCUCAAGACUGCUCAAUGCCAACAGUACCAAUAAUGGAUGUUCACAAAUCCUGGGCUGUUUGCAAAAAUGCUUCUUCCUUCAUUAGGCUGUCUCUAUCAUCACAAUCAUCUUGUAAUAAAAAUGGGACAGGUAUUAACUAAAGGGCUUAUUUUAUAGAUGAGGAAUCUGUGGCUCAGGUAAGGUGAGCAACUUGCCAAGUGUAUUAGUCAGGGUCGGCUAAUUGCUGUAACAAACAUCCCCAGAUCUCAGUGGGUUAGCUCAGUAAGAGUUUUCCAAAUAUGCCCUCUUCAGUGAGACUCAGCAGGGAUGCUCUGCUUGAUGCAGUAGAGUCCAGGAACCAGGCUGCUUCUGCCUGCGACUCUGCUGUCCUCAAGCCACUUGCAGUUUCUUGAUUUGGCUGAUCAGUGGAGAAGAACAGGUGAGGGUUGUUUGUGGAAUGCUUUUUCUAGGCCAGGUCGGGAGGCAGCACACAUUACCUCGGUUCAUAUUCCUUAGGUUAGACUAGAGACACACAGCUAUAGCUAGCAACAAAGGAGCCUGGGAAAUGUAGUUCAGGAAGAAGAGGGAAAUGCAGACAUUGGUGGGCCCUGGCAGUUUCCACUACACCCAGAAUUAUACAACUAAUGGAGGCGGAAUCAGUUCUCAGACCUGAGUUUUUCAUUCCGGUGACUGUGCAUUCCCCUUCUAGCAUGUUUCUUUGAAGUGUAAAGCUUUACCAACAGAACACUGCUCCUGGUCUAUGUUCUAGGUCUGGAAGCUCUUACAUUUAUAAGAAUGUAAUGAUAAUGACGGUAAUAUCUAAUGAUUUAUUGGGCUCCUAUCUAUUCUAUUGUGUACACUCUCUCAUUUCAUUCUCUCCACCACCCCGUAAGGUAUGUAGAUAACACUACCUUCUCUAAUCUACCUUAGAGCGAUUAAGCAGCUUGUCUGAGGUUGUGGGAAAGAGAGAUGGUGAGUCCAGAACUUCCUGGCUCCCGUCUCCCAUCUAUCUCCUAUGUUGCUAUGGCUCCCACUGGGUUUGGGGUUGGAGGUAGGGUAGGUGGAGAGUGAGCCUUCUCUGCCCGGCAAGGCAGAGAUUCCUGGUGAAACUUAAGUAGGAUGCUAAUAAUGUCAGGAGUGGGCAGAGUCCUUGCAGCUCUGGGGAACAUUUGAAACCAUGUGCAAGCCUAGGCCAUUGUAGCUCGGUUUAGUUGAUAACCAUAUACCUGGAAUAUUGGUGGUGCUGGGAAUCGAUUUCUCAUUAUACGACCUUGAGCAAAGCAUCCUGGGUUAGGAGUCAAGAGCCUUCUAACCAUAAUUAACUAUGUACCUUUGGGCAUCUCACUGAAAGUCUGUGGGGUUCAGUACCACCACCCUCUUUCCCCUGUGAAUUGGAGAUUGUCACCACUAUCAUCAUUCCAGACCUUUCAAGCUGCGAUGGGCUCCUGAUUAGUCUUCCCAGCACCACAUAACUCCUCUUCAAAUCCUUCCUGCACAUCCCUGACAGAUUAGUCGUCUCAGUUGCACACAUACAUUUUCACCGUGUCUUUCUUCUGCUCAACAACUUCACGACUCUUUAUUACCAUAAAGCCCAAACUCCUUCGUGGAGCCCUUUCUUUAUAUUCCGUCCCCAGCUUACCUGUCCAAAUGAUCCAUCCUUGACUCCCCUGAGCACAGCAAAUGCUCCUGCCAGGCUGUCCUUUUUCUUCCCCGGGGAUCCUCAUUGCAGGGUGGUUCUCCUUCCUGCCUACCUGUUUACACCUCUAAGAUCCUUCUCUUAACACCACGAUCAUCUUCAUUCUCACGUCACUGCACUAAUGCUCCAUGCCUCCACACAGCACUUCCCUUGGAGGCUCAUUUGGUGAUGGGGACAUCUACAAAUGUGUCUUAACCUCUUCACUAGAUUGUGAGUUUCAUGAGGGUGAGAGCUGAGUCUUGCACAGUUCAUACCUUUGGAUAGAACCGUCCUCAGGCAAAAGUUAACACAUGAAAGAAUGAUCAGAAGAUGAGAGAGUUUUUGUGCUACGCAAAUGAAAGGUUUGGCUUAGAGGCCAGCAUUAAAGUUGUUUUGAUUGCUUCCUGUCAGCCAGCAAUCAGGAGACAGCUCCCACAUCUUGGCAAGCUGGUAACCCUCUGUAUCUGUCUUCAAAGUUAUGUAGAGGGGAUCUCAAAUCAGAACCUCAUGGCACUUUUGGUGGUACUUUCUUUGCCUACUGGGGGAAUAAGCCCAGGCCUCCAGCAAGCUAACCUAUCAGGUAGAAGCAAGCUGGGUGUGUACAUUGGGGAGCUCCUCAAAUUGAGCUCUCUUGGCUUUUUGCCCAUACCCAGCCCCUCCACACCAGGCCAAACUGUAGGCUGAAGCCAGUGGAGAAAGUAAUAGAUUGAAACUAGGAUGCUCAGGUUAAGUGGGCCGCUUUGUGGAGCUCAUCCAUAAUCCUGCAGGAGCCCAGAGAACAAUACGUUAAUUAGAGCCGACGGCACCGCUCCUACCAGCCAUCCAUCCUGCCUGUGUCUGCUGGGCCUUCCCUGUGGACAUGCCAGCCCACUCGCUACUCUGAAAGAGAUUUAUUCAUUAUCAAUGUUUGUCUGAAAGAAAGGGACCUGGUGGGGAGGGAGUGAGAUUCCAAGAGAAAUGGGAUAUGAAAGAGGUGGAGCCGAGCCUGCUGGCAGCUGACAAAUGGGUGUGUUUGGGGCUGGAAAGAUGGGGUGUUCCCAAUUAGGAGGAUAAGGUGAGUCCACCUGGUUGGGGAGGGGGAGAAGUCAGUCAGAUGAAAUUAGAAGAUGUUCAGUAAAUUUGUCCAGCAGGAAGUGGUCCUCGCUGGAGUUUUGGGUUUGAACCUAGCUCACUUUGAGCCCCAAAUGAUGGGGAAAGAAGGUAGGGAAGAGGAAGUUCACUUGCCUAAUAUCUAUCCCAGUGCUUGCACUCAGAGAGCACUGAAAAAGUGCUUGUUGGGUGAAUAAUUAAACGACAGGGGGGUUUAAAGCCAGAGGGAUUUAGGUCAGAUAUCAUGAGGAACUCAUUACCAGUGAGCAAAGAGAAAUACAAACCAGGGAGACCAAGAACAGGUCCUGAGAUUUUUACCCAAGAGUUCUUUGAGAGAAGGGGAGACACAUUUCAUUUUUCCCAGAGCCUAUUAUCUGUGUGUCAUGUAGAUUCUGGAGAAUAUGGGAGAUGAUCAGCCCUCCUGAAGUUAACAUGGCAGCCUGGAGAGGAGAGGGAUAACAAAGGACCGGUUGGGCUGAGGUCCACUGACCAAAGCUCCAUAGAGAAUGAUCCUGAGGGAGCAGUGGACACAGUCACUGCUGCAUAGACUCAUCUUGCAGAAGGUGUCUCAAGGGCUGUAGCUCCUUCUCCAUCCAAAUGGAGAAAGUGAGGCUGAAGUGGGGAAGAGACUUGCCUAAAGUCCCACAACUGGUUCAUCCCAGAACCUCGCUGUUCCAGCUGUGACAUUAGGGAGGGCCUGUCACCUAGAGGUGACAUCAUGUAGAUGUUUGAGAAGUGCAUCAAGUAGAUCCUGUGCCUAGUGCCUAGGAGGCAACGUAGUGUUUUGGGGAGAUAACUAAUGUGGUGAGUUGUCAAUUCUAGCGCUGCUUUUCUAUUAACUGGCUGGGUCACAUCAUCACGCCACUUAGUCCCUCUGGGUUUUAGUUUACUCACUUUCUUUUCUUAAUGUUUGAGAUGGAGUUUCACAGGCUAGAGUGCAGUGGCACAAUUUCAGCUCACUGCAACCUCCACCUCCUAAGUUCAAAUGAUUCUCUUGUCUUAGCUUCCUGAGUAGCUGGGAUUGCAGAUGCCUGCCAUGAUGCCUGGCGAAUUUUUGUACUUUUAGUGGAGACAGCAUUUCACCAUGUUGACCAGGCUGGUCUCGAACUCCUGACCUCAGGUGAUCUGCCUGCCUCGACCUCCCAAAGUGCUGGAAUUACAGACGUGAACUACCAUUCCCAGCCAGUUUACUCACUUUUAAACACAAAAUGAUUGAGCAAGAUUAGUGAUGUUUAAGCUUUAGCAAUCUCAGAAUCCCCUGGAGAAAGGCAGAUUCCUGGAGGCGGUCCCCAGAGUUCUGUGAAGGGGCUGAUAAUUUGCAUUUCCAGUAGUUUCCCAGUUGAUAAUGGUCCUGCCAGUCUGGGGACCAUACGAACUGCAUGACCAGGCGACUUCCUCUACAGUUCCUUCUGAUUCAGAUAUUUAAUGGGAUAUCCCCCCUUUUCCAAAUGCCUUCCAUUGGUAAGAAGAAUCUCUUGACUCCCCAGUGCAUGCCUCUUCUGGGUGGCACCGGCUUGUCCCUGACAUUUCUGGCUUCCCCUCCUGCUCCAGGCAGUUAAUGCCAUUUUCCCCACAUACUCAGGAUUGAUGAUCUAAGUCUUAGAAAAUGCACGGAAGGCAAUACAGGCAAAGUAUUAUCAACAAGAUUUAAGAAGAGUCCUACGAAACACAGCAAUAAAACCUGGAAAUAACUAUCCGUUUCCUACCAACAAAACAUCUCAUUUCCGAGUCCAUAAACACUCCCCCCUCUAGAUCCCCAGACCCAUCUGUUUUGUAAGCCUGUAUAAUUAUUAGAAACAUAAAGUCAGUUUCUAUACCUAAUGUAAUUAUCGGGAGCCAAAAUAGUAUCAGGUGAAGGAGGGGGAGAGGAGGAGGCUUGCUCACUGCAAACUCAGACUAUUUCUUUAAAGAGGGAGAAGUAGUCACAUGAGAAGAUAACGAUUCUUUAUGGUGAUAUUAUACUUCCUGUGCAGACUUUGGGGGCAACUUUGCAAAUAAGACUGAGCUGGCUCAUUUCAAAGCCAAGAGCGGUUUCCUGCCUUGUAAGGUGAGUUUAGGCCCUGUUGGGAACGAGAAAUUAGGAUCACCAUGCUUCCUCUGUGGCCAACCUUCAGAUUCUCUGGAGGCUCGGCGAGCAUGGCCUUCCUUCCGGAGGCACUGCCAAAGUUAGUUCAAGCCUUUCCUUCCCUUUGCACUGCCUCCGGAGGGGAAAAGAGAGUUUGUAAAGGCACUCUGAGAUUUUAGCCAGCUGGGGAUUCCUGGUUCACAAUGAAUUCAGGACAAUUGUCUCUGUGUCCUCCAGUGUCUCAGGGGAGCUAGCUAGUCACCUGCUGAAUAGGUGAGGAAGUGAAUAGAUGGAAUCAGGCAUGACUGUGGAAGGUACACAUGAUAACAGGAAUUGUUAGCAAAGGUGAAGGAGAGCAUCCUCCUUCUCUUCGGAUGGCGUAUUUGUGACAGUGUGUUGGGGCGGGGCAGAAUAAGGACCAAUGAGGCUGAUUUUGGUUUACUUUAUAAUAAGCAAAAUAACAUUUUGACCAGGAGAGCUUUCACCCUUUGCGUGGUGGUGAGUUCUCUGCCACUAGAGAUUUUCAAACAGAGCCAGGGCAACCCUUUCCCAUGAGGGUUAUCUAGGACCUGGGUAUGUUAGGUAGGAAGGAAGUGCAUGAGGAUGAGGGUCACAAAGAAUAUUUAUCAAGUAUCUACCUAUUGUGCGCCUGACUCUAUACUAAUGUCAUUUAAUCCCCUCGCCACACCCAUAAUGUAGAUGCUCAAACCCCUAUUUUAAAAAUCAAGCAAGCUCAGAGAUAUUUAUGUCACUAGUCUAUGUCACCCAGCUAGUGGGAAAUACAGCUCGGAUCGAAACCUAGGUCUGCCUGCUCCAAGUAUAUCUGUCUUCCACAGUGCCUUGAAAAAUACUGUCGGAUUUUUAGGCUUCAGAGUCUUCAGUGCACUUAUUGGAACUGAACUUGAUGUGCCUGGCUCCUGCAAACACAGGCUGCUGCCACCACUGGCUAAGAUGUUGCUCCGUCUUCUGGAUCCAUCACUGAGAAUUCAAAGCUCUUGUAAGAGGGCCCGUGGUGGGGAGGACUGUUGUCAGUGCCAUUCUUUUGCUUUGAAUUUGUUUGUUAAGCCGCCCUAGCAUCUUCCCCUCUGCAGAUUUGCUUGUCUGCCAGAAUCCCAAAUCAACCUGAUGGCUUAGGGAUUUCACUCUAUGAUCUGAAAAUCCAUGUUCCUUCUUCCCCUUCCCUACCCCUGGGAGUGGGCUCCUUUCUUCAGCUAUUGCACGGACUGCUUUCAGGGCUGAUGGGAGGAGCGUUUCAGCUGGGUGGGGGCAGAUGGCCGCAUUGUCGUUAAUGUCUAGUGAUGGGAGAAUCCCAAAGGCGCUGGUGUUGCAGUCUGGAGACAGCUAGAAAGCCGGGCCGACAUGCUUUCUGAAGCGUCCCGGCAGCCUUUGGAGGCAGCUUCGCCUGGAUUGCUAGCUGCCUUCAGCGGGGACCAGACCGUCUCUACCCACAUAUUCACUACUAGCGGCUGAGCAGAUGGCAAGCGCUUAAUCACUGCAUGGUGGAAAGAAGGAAGUAAGGAAGGGAGGGAGGAGGGAGGGAGGAAAGACUUGUCCUCAACAUCUUUGUCUGCCAGACAAUAGGUCCCACCCAGAUAAGGGUUCCCUGUGGCAGUCUGUUGCUCCUGUCUGGCAGGUACUCUGGCAUAGAAAACAGCUCUGGGCUUUAGCCUCACUAACUGGGUUCCAGUUGGGCCUUUGUAUUUUCGAACCCAGCAAGCUUGGGGAAGCUAUUUCUAUGAGCCCCAGUUUCCACUCUGUAAGAGGGAAUAAUCAUCACUCCCUUCAUAUAGGGUUGUUGUGAGGAUAAAAUCAGAUCAAGGGACCUCAUGUCCUCUGUAAACUGGGUUUCCUUAGGAAUAGAGGUUUAGCAUAUGGGGAAUCAGGAUUCCCGAAAUAAUAAUGCCAUUAUCAUUGGAUUAAUGUCUACUGUGUGUUAACUGCUGAGUCAUUUCUUUACAGACGUUGUUUCAGGGUAUAGUUUAUAAGGUGGGCAGUUUGGUGAUGAUGAAACAGAGGUUUGGAAAGGUUAAGUGACUUGAAAAACUAGAAUUUGAACCUAGGUUCCCAAUGGUCUCCAAGCCCAAAUAAUCUUCUCUCCACUUCAAGCUACUUUCCCUUAAGGCCAAUAUGGGUCAUGCAGGAGUAGAAGGGUCGAUGUGGUCAUGGUGAUGGGUGUUGGACUCAAAGACUCUGGAAAAGACUUUUUUUUUCUUUUUUGAGAUGGAAUCUUGCUCUAUCCCCCAGACUGGAGUACAGUGGUGCGAUCUUGGCACACUGCAACCUCUGCCUCCCAGGUUCAAGUGAUUCCCCUGCCUCAGCCUCCCAAGUAGCUGAGAUUACAGGCGUGCGUCACCGCAUCUGGCUAAUUUUUGUAUUUUUAGUAGAGAUGGGGUUUUACCAUAUUGGCCAGGUUGGUCUUGAACUUCUGACCUCGUGAUCCACCUGCCUUGGCCUUCUAAAGUGCUAGGAUUACAGGUGUGAGCCACUGCACCCAGCAUAAAAGAGUCUUUUUUUUUUUUUUUUUUUUUAAAGACAGAAUCUUGCUCUAUCACCAGGCUAGAGUCCAGUGGUGCAAUCUUGGUUCACUGCAACCUCUGCCUCCUGGGUUCAAGUGAUUCUUCCGCCUCAGCCUCCCGAGUAGCUGGGAUCACAGGCACGCGCCACCAUGCCUAGCUAACUUUUUUGUAUUUUUAGCAGAGACAGGGUUUCACCAUGUUGGCCAGGAUGGUCUCGAUCUCUUGACCUCGUGAUCUGCCUGCCUCGGCCUCCCAAAGUGCUGGGAUUACAGGCGUGAGCCACCGCGCCUGUCCCGAAAAGACUCUUAAAUCCUGUGACUUUAUCGUUUUCCCACUACACAGGGUAAAGCAAAUACUCAAGCCUCAUUCUUUUACUGGUUUCACAAAUCUUUCCCUUGCUCCCUUGCCCUAAGUGAGUCAUUUGCAGUUGGAUUCUGGUCUGCAGCCAGGUGCUGUUUCUUUUUCAAGGAAACAGGGGUGGCUGUGUAAAGACGAGGGUUCCCAGGAGUGCUCAGUGUGUAUGCCGGGUGUGUGUGUGGGGUAUGUGGUAAGGUGGAACAAGGCGAGGAAGAUACACCUUUAGGCAGUAACCAAUUGAUCAUUUGAUAAACUUUAUUGAGCACUUAUAUGUGCCAGGAGCUGUGCUGAACUCCACAGGGCUGAAGACAUGGGCUCUGGUCUCCAGAGGCUUAUAGAUUGGUGAGGAAGACAGGAUUCAAGGCAGAUGAAAAAGCUCCUUAUGCUUAUGGAUGGUAGAGGAGCAGACUGGAGCGGAAGGGAGGGGAGGAGAAGGGAAGGGAGGGAAGGGGAGGGGAGGGAAGGACGGGGGAGGGGGAAAGGAGGAGUGGGGGCAUGCUGUUGGGGAGAGAGGAGCAAGUCUUUACCCAGGGGGUGGUGGGCAGGGGGCAGUACACCCAUGUCCCUCUCCAGAAUUCUUUACCCCAGCGGCCCCCUUAGGCCUGGUUCUCAGUUUAAGUCAAAUAAUUUUGGUCCCUAGUUGCCUCCUGCCUGCCACUUUCCAACUCAAUCAUUCUUUGAAAUUUGGAGCUGUAGCUAAAACGCCUUUGCCCUGUAACAGGAUUUUCACAGUCUCCACAGCAGCGGCUAACGUCGCUCAUCACCUGCUGUUGUAAUCUGCACCGCUAAGCCCUCGGCUAGAGGCAAAAAGCUUAACUCGCCGUGCUGCUUCGAGCUUGCUCUUCCUGGCAUCCGAGCCAUAUUUCAGUCAGGGGAGCUAAUCCGCCCCCCCACCCAACUGCACACACAGAGACAUUUCAAAGGAAACACAAAUGGCAAAGGGAGCUGUGGCUCCUUCUGGGAGGGGCUCUGAGAGCCAAGCUCCCCAGACCUAAUGGGCAACAGAAAGUGCGUCCUGGCGACUGUGAGGAAAACCAUUCUUCAUGCCUUCUCCUGAAGGGUUUGGUGGGAGAGCUGAAGGGCUGAUUUUCCCGAAGACUGUGUUUUAAGGGCUGGCCGGGCCUCAGUGGCCACACUGGGAAAGUCAGCUUUGUUAAAAGGAAUAUGUAGUGAGCUGUGAGCGGGGGGCGUAUCCGUGUAUGCCUUGACUCGUGCCUGAUGAACUCAACACCUCCCAUCUUUCCUAAAAGCAUAAUCCCCAGUGUGUUUUUUGUUUUUCCUUCUACCUCUGUCUUAAUACUUUAUGUCCCAGAGAGCCAGAACCCAGAGCACUUGGGAAGAGUGCUUGCCACGUAGUAGGAGUUCACCAACUGCUUGUCGAAUGGGUGAGUACCAGCACUGGAGAUCAGCUUUGUUCCAGCCAUGGUGCUGUGUGCUUAAACAUGUGGGUAUAAGUGGAAAAGCAAACCAGAAACAGGAAAGAGUCACAGACUCCUAAGAGGCAGGGGGCUGAUGAAACCUAAUACGUGCCAGGUGUUUUUUAUAGAUGCUGGGGAGACAGCCGUGAAACACGGAGACUUAAAUUCCUACCCUGGUUCUAGUGGAAGGCAUUGGACCAAGACUGACCAGUGAGCAGAUUUUUGCUAAACCUAAGAAAUGACUUUCUGAGAACUAGAACUGUCCAGCAGUGUCAUGUGUGGUCGUGUGAGGUAGUCAGCUCCCUGUUCCAGGAAGAGUUUGAUCAGAGGCAACAUGAGCAUACCUGGGGAUGCAGAGGAGGGGGAGCAGAUCCUAUGGCUGCCCAUAUCCCCUUCCCUUAUUUCUGCAGUGCGCACUGGCCAGCUUUUUGCAGCCAGCACCUGCAUUUCUCUGCCUGAGAGGCUUCUCUGCCCCCAGAGUCUAUUUUGCUGCCCACUCAUCAACUGGAAAUGCGAGGGAAUUAAUGCCCACACCCUUUCCCUGGGAAAGGAGCCCUCAAGUGAUGACUGACUGGAGCUGGUACACAAAUGUCCCAGUUCCCAUGUCCCUUGGAUGGGUUCACACCAAGGCAAAUGUUUUCCACUGUUUCUCAGAUUUCCCGGCAGGAUUAAGCAGGGGUUCCCCACAGUGUAAACUUGCUGGAUAAGGAAUCCUUCACUGGCUGCCUUCCUGCCCCGUACCUCUUCCCCACUUCCUUUCUGACGUUUCCUGAUUACACCUCCAAAAUGAUGAUUUGCAUUUGGAUCUUCAUCUCCAUGUCUGCUUCUGGGAGACCCCAAAGGAAGACAAGGGGACCCCUGCUCUGUAUGGGUUCUGGGACCUCUGAGGAUUCCCUCCUUCCAGUUCUAACACUUGAUAACUGCCAAACUCCUACUGGGCUUUGGAAAUGGCACCAGAUUCAACCCAGAACUCCCUGUCCCAGCUUGGGGAUUGGGCAGAGAACAUUUCCUACUCAUAUGAGACAGCAGAGGAUGCCAAACCUGCCUCCUUACCAGGUCAGGAGGUUCCCUGACAGCAGUCCACUAAGCCCCUUUUGGGGUAAGCCCCCUGACAGAAGUCUGCUAAGCCCCUUUUGGGAUUACCCCAAAAGGGGUUUAGCAGACUGCUGUGCUCCAUCAGAGCAGAGCUGUAUCUUCUGAACCCAGAACCCUUCAUCAAAGUUUGUUGAUGUGGCUCUGCCUGAUCUUUGCAUCCCCUUAGCCUGUGCCAGUGCUAGCCAGGGCUGGGCCCUCAACACCUUCACUGCCAAGGUACUUCUGCUUCCCACAGAUGUUGAGCCAGGAGCCAAUCAGGGCUGGUCUAUGGGCUUUAUUAUGACACCUGUCCAGAGAAAGUUCAGGGCAUAGAACUGAGUGAGUAUCAAGCUGGGCUCAUUGUCUGCUACUGCCCAAGACCUGGCACCAUAGGUCACAGGUACAGACAAUAAAAACCACAUUUUUGGGUGGAGAGGAGAGGAACACAGGUUGUUCAGCAGGUGUGGUGGACACUAUCAUACGCAGCCCAGCCCAGAUCUCCUGACAAUGAAGAACAUGUUGACCAGCUGGGAAAGUCAGCAGACAGGCUUCCACGAUCGGUCUCUACAGAGAUCACUUCAGCUGCAGACAGCCUCGUGCCGGGGUUGUGCCCCUCUGGGGUGGCCCACAACCACUGACAGAUUGAUAUGGGAAUAGAAAGACCUGGCCAUCUUGGCUGGAUUCAGGAUGGCCCCCAAGGGCCCUUCUCAGCUCCAUAACUCCUUGUGGGGUGUGCCAAAGCUGCCUUUGGGCUGCAUAAAAGCUGGAUUCCUCCCUCUGCCCAGGCUCACUUCUUACCCUGCAUGACCGCUGCUGUGGGUCCCAUGCCACUUCUUAUUAAACACCCCGCUGGCAAAACUCCAUCUCAGGGGCUGCUCUCAGGCAACCUGACCUGUGACAGUGGGACAUCGUCCCCACCUACUCAGCUAAGCCUCUGCGUCAGCCUGCCAAACUCUAUUCCUUUCCAAAUUGUCAUCCCUACAGGAAGCUCUGCCUACCUUAAAGAGCUAGUCUCAAGCCCAGCCCAGCUCCUCCAUUGGUCUUGGCAGGGAGGAUCUAUGGGCUGGCUGGUGAGAGUAGGGUAGCUGCUUCCUGCAGACCACACCCUCCCCCAAAACACACACAUGGCACCAUAAUUAAGUCAUAUGCUGAUGCCCCAGCUGCGCUCAGACACCUAGAAGGUGAAGCCAUCACGGGCUCCGAAGCAGUGUCUCUGGAUCUGAGGUGCAUUCCUGCAGCUGGGACUGCAAUGGGAGCUCGCUUUAUUAGAUCCCAUUAUAAAUGGAUGAUUUGCCAUCUCCGAAGAUAAAUGGGAAACUUAAUGCAGAGGUAUCCUAUCUGGGGAAACUGGAGAGUUAUGGAUGUUAGCUUUGUAGCUUUAUGAAAGCACUCUCUUAUAGAAACUGAAAUGACCAAGAUUAGAUUGAAUUAGUAUGUACUGGUAUGAGCUUUUUCUCCCCCUAUCCAUCUUGACUUUUUUUUUUUUUAAGGCAGAAGAUUUGCCUCCUGGGUGAGCAUUUCAGAAAAAUACAAAUCCUGAGUUUGGGUUUGGUAAUUAGCAGGAUUGCCUCCUGGUGCUAACGAGGCAGCUACCCAGCUGGGACUGUCUAUGUAGGUGGAGGAAGUGGCGCCCUCUGCUGGCUUCCUUUAUGGGUGGUGUCUGCUCCCUUCCACCUGGGAUCCCCCUUGGUACCAGGUGCUCUCUUCACCUGUCCUUGUAGAAUGCAGAUAGAUUAGUGAGGCCUCUUGUCCAGCACCCAGGCUCCUGGCUACCCCAUCCGAGGAUGGGGAUGCUCCAUCCCAUACAGACCCCACUCUCCAGCAGUGUUCCCUAGGCUGAGCUUGAGAACCAGCUCCUAGCUGGGUGGUGAGGCUUUCUGCCAGCAAACAGCUCCAUCUGAUAUGUAUGUUAGAGCACUUGUGAUACCAAGCACAAGGCUAGGCACUGGAGGCAUUAAGAUGAGGAGACUAAGGUUCUUGCCCUUCAGGAGAACCAUCUAACUGAGGGGAGGAAGGCAUAUGUAGAUGAUUUCCAAACGGGCACUCUUUGUACCUUCUGCCUUGAUGGACAUGUUCUCUAUCUUUGCUGACCACAGGAAGUGCAGUAGCCAUGAACUUCCUGUGGUCCCCUGGAGAUAAUAAGAAUGGGAGUCGGGAAAGGAAUUCUAGGGUUGGUUCUUAAGCCAACCAUCCUGGGAUCUCAGGCAAAUCAUAUCUGUGAUUUGAACCCCAGUUUCAUUUUUUCUUGUUAAAACUUGCUCUGCUUCUCUACAAUAUUAGAACCAAGAGAUCUAAUCUUCACUUGGCCCACUUUUCACCUGAUGGAGGGAGGAGCAGAGGCUGUAACCUGCCUGAUCUCAUGGCUGUGAAGGGCAGAAUCAGGCCCUUAACUCCUCAUCCUGGUUUUUUGACCAGAGCAGGCUGCUGCUGGGGGUGCUGUGGGGAUCAAAUAUGAAAAGAGAAAGGAAGAUCUUUGGAAAGUCAAAGCUACCCAAGUCUCAGAGCCUUUUGACACCAUGGUGGCUGGCGAAACCACCCACAGAGCCACUGAAGGCUCAAGACCGUGUGGCGAGGUUGGACACACACUUGAAGCUUAGAGAACUAAUGUAGAAGAGGCUUGUCUGUGAGAUUUUGCAGUACCCUAGGCCCAACACACAACCCUACAGUUGAUGUCUGCCCCAAACUUCAGCAUGAUAAAAGAAUUCUAAGAGUUGGGCUGUAGGAGGAGGACACAAAACAGUGUAUGUGCCAUUAGAUCUCAAAUUUCAGGAGCCCUGAGAAGCUCAGAGCCUCUCAGAUACUUUACUCCAACAGGUUGGAGUUCACCUGUUGAAUGCCCAGCAUCCCUAUUAGACAGUGAGUGAGUUAUCCCAGCAUGGCUUCUGGAGCUGCCUUUGGGUCAAGGAACUUUGCAGAGAUGGAGAGUGGGAGGCUUAUAUGGAAAUAAAAGUGGGGGACUCCUUGCAACGAACUCAACUCCAGGAGGGUGUCAGCACUGUAAUGGAAUUUGAAUGAAGUAUUGAGAGCUGGGUUGGGAGAUGAGAGAGGUCAGGAGCAGUAAGUCUCAGGUGGAAUCAUUUAAAAUUUAAAACACAGAUUAAACAGCUUCCUUUUUCUGAUGACAAGUACUGUGCCUAUCCUGGGUCCCAGGGAGCUCCCUCAUAGAGGUUCAGAGCUCUGUUGAAUGCAGGGACCCAGGCUAAGAGGCUUCCUCUGUUCGCCAGCCAGCUCUGGACAAGGCCUGGGGCACUUUUCCUGCAAGCCCCCAUCUUUUCCCACACUGUGGCCCACUGGGUCUUGGGGCCUCUGCCAAGGCCUACCAGCCCCAGGGGUGCCUCCAUUUCAGGCUGUUCAUGCUGGUGCAAGCUACUUCUCCUAUAAUGGAAGUAUUUUUCGUACCCUUUGCCUACUGGUUCUUUACUUUGAGCAUGGGGAAGUGAGAUCUUUCCUUGGAUGAGGUGUGCUUUGUGCUCUGAAGGCUAGUUUCUAGGUUACCACCUGGCUGUAGCAGGAGCGGAGCCAGAAGAACUUUGGGAUAACUUCAACCAUCUCCCUCUCUAUCCCCAUCGACAGAGGAGACAUUGAGGUACCAAAGAAGGAAGCGACUUGCCAAGUUCACACAGCUAGUCAGCAGCGAGGUUGGAAUUGAAAUUUAGGAUAUAUAACUCAUUCAAUCCUUCAUUCCAUACAUUUAAAAUAAAUGCCCAGUAUGUACCAAGAAUGAUGCCAGCCAAGGGGAAAACGGAGAGUGAGAAGACAUGGUCUGCAUUCAAGGAGUUUGCCUCGGAGUGCGGGAGAUGAACAUAUCAUCCUCGAUUUUUACAAGUGGUACAAAGGAAAAUAUCUGGGUGAUGACACAAGAGACAAAAGCAGAGUGGGGCCUUAGUCUCUAGAGAGGGUGGUAUGAAAAGGCUCAUCUGAAUAAGCGAUAAUAUUGAGCUUAGAUAAGCAGGAUCAGCAGGGGUCAGGUCAAGUGUGUUCCAGGCAGAGGGAGCCGCAUGCACAAAGCCCCUGCAGGAGGAGAGUUUGGUGUCAUGGAAGAAACAGCCAUCCGCCACCAACAUCAGCGUGGUUGAGUAGGGUGCGAGAGGAGAUAAGGGUGAAGGUGAGGCAAGGGCAAGGUCAUGCAGCAGACCUCCCUGAGUCAAGUGGAAGAAUGCCAAUUUCAUUCCCAUUUCUGCCAUGCUGUCCAAAAGUCGUAGCUGUGUGUGUUUAGGCGGCACAGUGUCAGGGAAGGCCAGGAGCAGGACACAGCCUGUAAAUGCAGGGACUUAGCAUGAGAAGGAGAGGGCUUCUGAAGACAAGGGUUGGACAUAGGAUGCAUAGAGCUGCCUUCAGCCAAGGGAGGGGACACUGAGGGGACACAAGCAAAGAAGCCUUGGAGGAAGACCUUUGAGACUGGCACCAAGGCUGUCAGGUGGCAACCGAGAGGGUGGUUUGUCCAGAAAGGAUUAAGUAUAUCCAAGGAUUGAGGCCAAGAGGCAUUGUCUAACCAGCCAGGGCCUUAACAGAUCCAGAUGGAAGAAGCCAGACUUGGGCCUCAGGCUGAGCCAAGCGUAUCCUUGAUUAAGCUGAGUGUCUGUGGGUUACUUCCCUGGAUGCAGCUGGUGCCCUCAGAAGUCCUGGCUGGUCGGUUCUAAAUAGUGGUGGAGUGCGUGUCAUGCUGACACACUUCUCACCUGGGAGAGGGGCUGCUGAAGACACAUAUGGCAAGGUGACAGGGGGCAAGCAUGUUGCUCCCAUGGAUGCAGCAGGUAAGGAAGGUAGAGGAGGAGAAUGAGGGGGUGGGGUGGGGGGUCUUCCUUCAGCUCAAGUGAAGCAAGGUCUGCCAUUCUUCUCUGGGCUGUCUUCUCUGACCCUGGCUGUGGAGGUCUGAAGCUAAAGGAUCAGCCUGCUUCCUGCUCCAGGUAAGUGUGACUAGCAUGGCCCUGGAGGCAGCCCCCGCCCCUGGUUUUUCCCCUCUGGUGACCAUCAAAGCUGACAUCACAAUUUGAUUAACACAGCGACCUCUCAUGGGGCCAUUACCAUGAACAAGAUAAGGCAUGCCAAGCACUUAGCACAGUGCCAGAGACCCCGGAUGCCUGGUUUAGCUGCUGAUAGAUUUACUAUUUACUGGGUCAGGUCUCUUCCAUUAAUGCUAUUUAGCCCCACUCCUUUGCCCUGGGCUGAGCUACUUGACCUUCUCACAUGAUCUGAUGUCCUCCUAUCUUUUGCGAAGAGACAAUAUAAUAUAGGACCUUUGGUUCUCUGCUUGGUGCUGGUCCAGAGUGACCUCAGCCAAGUCACUUCUGCUCCCCAAGUCUGUUUGGUCAUCUGUCAGUUGAUGUGCUUGUUCUAAACCAGAGCUCUGCACUAGGUUGCUGUGCCACAUUGCUGAGUCACAACUAAGUUACCUGUGUGUUGAGGGGGCAAGUCCCUCGGCCCUUGAGAUGCCUUGGUGGGUCAGGAUAGCCCCUAACAAGGUCUCCUCUAACUGCAAGUAGCCUGUGCUAUUGACUCCAGCAUGCAGAACAAAUAUUGCCAUUUUAUCUGUGUGCUAUAAUGUAAAAAAGGAAAAGUUGAGAAGCCCUAGAAAUCAUUCUUGAUAUGCUAAUAUUCUGAGUCAUCUCCUAGCUUCAAAACUUGCCUAUUCCAAGAAGUCUGCCCGCCCCCACAGCAUCGUUCAAUGAUAUUUCUUCUUCAGGGUCUUCUCAGCAGUUAUGAGCUGCAUUCGCCUGGAAUGAAUGAAUUAAUUUGUACUUCUUAAUAUGUGACCUGUGGGCUGUUUCCUGUAACAACAAUGACAAUGACAACAACUCCUCUCACUUAUUGAGCGCGUGGGUGGCAGACAGCUCACGAAGUGCUUUGCUAUUCGCUUCCACAAUAGUGUGUGAGGGAUGCGUGCACUGUUGUGUAUGCACACACGGGAAGCCUGAGACUUACAUAGCUGGAAACAAUUGCCCAAAUAGGAAGUGGCUGAGUGAUGACUUGGAUGUGAGUCUGUCUGGCCUGAUGUAGUCCGUGCUCUUAAGCAGUUAAGUAGUAUGCCUUGUGUGUGUGUGUGUGUGUGUGUGUGUGUGUGUGUGUGUCCUUCUCCCAGUUAAACUAUAGAUCUCCCAAAAGAGAGAGUGUUUUCUGCAUUCUUUCCAUCUUCCCAGAGCUCAAAAUGAUAUUCAAUAGUCCGAGCUCAGUGAUUACUGUUGGGCAUGUUAGACACUUUGUUCUAAGUUAAGAGUGAGGUAUAGAAUAGCCUUCCCUGGGUCACAGGUAGGAAGCACAACUGACCACUGGUUUUGCCUGGGUGUAGGUGGGUGUGUGAAAUCUUACUGGGAUGGUGGCACAGAAGAGCCUCCCAGCCCCGCCUGCUCCAGGUAGCUUGACUGCUGUUUCAGGGUAAAAUGGACUUCACUAAGGGAAGUCAGAACUGGAGAAUUCAUAAAGUAUGUCCUUCAAGCCAGGUACCCAGCCCAUGACACUUGGUCCUGGGGCUUCCCACAGCUUCUCGCACAGUCCUGUCUUCUCUCUUUCAGAGGGGCAAGUAAAAGCCAGUGAUUGUCAUCUAGGAUUAAUGGGUCUUGGUAGCCUGGAGUGGGGAUCACAUAUCCAAGCAGUGCUCACUUGUGACCCUGGCCUCCAAUCUAAAGCCCCUGUCUCCUCUCCAUCAGUGCCCCGGGACUGCAUGCUUAACCCUUCUUCCUUCCCUCCUCCCUUGGCUUUAAUGUCCUCACCUGGCCUUCCCACUGCUUAGCUUCUAGUUCGGUCCUAUAAAGGAGCUUAGACUCUUGGUGAGUUGUCUUUGAGUGGCCCGAGGAAGCCCCCAUCCCACUCUUCUUUCUCCUGAACACCCAAACCACACACAUAUGUGCGAUGUGGUUAAGGAUCAGACAGUCCUGCAUUUGACUCUCUGCUCUAACUGAUUAGUAUGUAACUUUGGAUAAGUUCAUCGAUAUUCGCUUAAGAAGUAUUUACUGAGCACCUACUAUGUGCCACAUACUAUGCUAUGUACUGGACAUGUGGUGAUAUGUGGAGAAUAAACCCGGCAGGUGCGUGCUUGUGAAGGUGGUCAGGUGAGGUCUCCUUGAGUUGAAGUCUGAAUGAUGAUAAAGAGGUAAUACGGAGGAAGAACAUUCUACUGAGACAGGGGAAACAACCAGUGCAAAGGCCCUGAGGCACACUGACACAUUCAGUAGAUUUACAGGGUGUUGCUGUACUGGAGAAUGAACUGCAGAUCAUCAGGAGUGGCAGUAAGGAAACCGGUGAGAAGUCUACUGUGAAGGUCCAGGUGAGCACUGACGAAGGCCGAGUAUAUUAUAUCUUCUCUCUGAAACUUACUUGCCCUAUUCAAAAAAUGAACAUAACAAGAGUACUUCCCUUACAGGGUGGCCAUGGAGAGUAAAUGAGUCGGUAUUUGGCAUGCAGUAAAUAGUAACUAUUAGCAUUAAUAAAAAGGGUAGUCAUCACAAGUGUGGGCUCAGCUCUAUGAGGCUUCACAGGAGAACUGAGCCUCCAGUGAAGCUGAGACUUUUCCAUCCAGCGGUCAGGGGUGCUUCCAGGGAGUCAGAGGUCAGAGGCCAGCUGCCCCUUCUGUCACCCAUCCCAGGUUCUUAGUAAAGGGCAUCACUGGAUGCUCAGUGGGGAUUAAGGCAGCCACUGCUCAGGGAGGAGGGACAGGUGGCCUUGGGAGGGAGGGCAGCAUCUUCUCUGUGUUAUGGAAGCUAGCAGGCUGAGGAGUGGGGAAGCUCAAGCAACCCGUGCUUCCUGUGUUCCUGAGCCAGACCUGGGAGAAAUUCUCACCUCAUCCAGGGAGGCUUUGAGUUGAGAAGAAAGAAUUGAGCUAGGAGGGGAGGCAAGCCAGGGUAUAGAAGGCAAGGAGGCAGGCUCUCCUUCUUCUUGACUUUCCAUAACCCAGGGCAGGGAUGUGGGGUAAAUAGAGGAAGAGAGAGGAGAAGGGGUGAGGGGAAUCACUUCCCAUCUUUGUGAUGAGUGGAUGAGAUGAAAGAAGCCAAAGCUACCAAGAAGGAUUUGGUUAGAUGCCCUCAACUGUACAGAGACAGCAGUUGGACCCUACAGCACAUUUCUGCUCGAAUAAACAGGACCUUCUCUCCGGCAGAAAUCCUUCUCUUCCAACUGGCAUGGGGGGUGAGCCUGCUGAGAGGCUAAGAGGGCUCCGAUGACCUCUAGCUCCUGCCCCCACCUGACUGCACCAGUUGUCUGCAAUGGUGGCAAAGGGAAAUUUUAUGAGCUCUUCAGUCCUCAGGUCUCAUGGGCUUUUGCCUUGCUCCAGACCAUCUCUGAUACACACAUAUAUCUUGAAAAGGAAAAGAAAGAGAGAGAAAAGCUAUUUUAUUUCAUUGCCAAACCAUCCACUUUAAAUACCCUUUUUAUUACAGUAUCUGCAUAGUAAUACUAAUAAUAGAUCUUGUUGGCAGCUCUAAUGAGGCUGGAGAAUAUAAGGUUUCCAAUAAAGUUAAUUGUUGCCUUUAAUAUUCUCAUACAUUUAUACAUGGUAAAUCUUUAAAGGAGAAAAAACACUCCAUUUCAUCCCUUAAGCAGCCGGUCCUAGACUGGAUUGAGACCAACUGCAGUAGAGACGUGGGCUGGGAGCUUGACUGUCGGAAAACUUGGAUUAGGAUCUCCAGACUUCCUCCUACCAAGAAGAGCGGAGUGAGUAGAAGGAGCUGUUUUCCCAUGCCCCACCCACAUGAUCCUGGAAACGAAGAGGAACCUGAGAUGCUCUGGGUUAGGGACAGGCCUGUGUGACCUUGUGUUUUAACAAAUGGAUCACAAACAAUCCAACCCCCACCUCUCUGGCCUUCCUCACCCAGUCGGAGUUCUCCGCUCCACAUCAACGCCUCUCCCGCUGGCAAGUGGUCCCUGCCAGCUCUCACACAUCGAUUUAAGAAACAGGCUGUGGAAGUGAGCAGGGUAGCAGGCUGUGACUGGGAAAGAAGACUGUGAGAAGGGAAGAGACGAAGCAAUCUUCCCUGCUGCUCCUGUAUCUCUUCAUGGAUGCCUUACCUUUUAUUUUUAAGUUUUAUUAAAAUAUAAUUGACAUACAAUAUUCUGAACAUAUUUAAAGUAUACCAUUUGAUGAGUUUUGACAUAUGUAUAUUUGAGAUAAUGAACAUAUCCAUCAUUUCCGUAAGUUUCUUUGUGCCCCUUUGAAAUCCCUCUCUCCUGCACUCCCCACCCCCAAUCCCUAGGCAAACACUGAUCUGCUUUCUGUCACUAUAGAUUCAUUUGCAUUUCCUACAAUUAUAUAAAUGGAAGCUACAAUAUGCACACAUUUUGUCUGCCUUCCUUCACUCAGCAUAAUUAUUUUGAGAUCCAUCUGUGUUGUAGUAUAUAUCAAUAGUUCAUUUCUGAUAGUAUUUCAUUAUAUGAAUAUACCACAGCUUGUCUCUUCUCCCAUUGAUGGACAUUUGGAUGUUUUCAUUUUUUGGCUGUUACAAAUAAUGCUUCUGCGAGCAUUUGCGUAGAAGCUUUGGCAUCCAUAUACACUUACACUUCUCUUGGGUAAAUACCUAAGAGGAGAAUGACUGGAUCAUAUAGUAGGUGGUUGUUUAAAUUUUUGAGAAACUGCCAUGCUGCUUUCAAAAUUAGUUGUACCACUUUACAUUCUCUCAGCAGUAUAUGAGAAUUCCAAUGGCUUCACAUUUUUGGCAAUACUUGGUAUGUUCAGGCUUCUUAAUUUUAGCCAUUUUAAUAGGAGUACAGGGGUAUCUCAUUGUGGCUUUAAUUUGCAUUUCCCUAACAAGUAAUAAUGUUGUUUCUUUUUUUCAUAUGUUUCUCUGCUUUCUGUAUAUUUUCUUUGGUGAAGGCAAAUCUUUUGUCUGUUUCUAAAUAACAUUGUUUAUGUUCUUAUUAUUUAUUUUUGAAGGUUAUUUAUAUAUUAUAGAUACACAUCUUUGACCAAAUACAUGGUUUGAAAAUAUUUUCUCAUUCUGUGCCUUGUCUUUUAUUCUCUUAACAGCUUGUCUUUUUAUUCUCUUAACUGUGUCUUUGAAAAGCAAUUUUGGAUUUUGAUGAAGUUCUAUUUACAAGUUGUUUUUUUAUGCAGUUAUGUCUAAGAUGCCUUUACUUAAUCCAAGGUCAUAAAGCUUUUGUCUUAUGUUUUCUUCUAGAAGUGUUAAAGUUUUAGGUUUUAUAUUUAGAUCUAUUACCCUUUUGAGUUGAUUUUUGUAUGUGGUGCACAGAAUGGAUCAAAAAUAUGUAGUUUUACAUGUGAAUAUCCAAUUGUCCUAAUACCAUUAGUUGAAAAGUUUUAAACUUCUUCCCUUUACUUGCUUUUAUAAGCUUGUCAAAACUCAGCUAUAUAUAUAAAGAUAUAUGUUUGCGUCUAUUUCUGGCCUCCAUUCUGUUACAUUGAUGUUUACACCAAUACCUCACUAUUCAUAUACUACAAUUUUAUAACUCAUAAAAACAGGUAAUGCUAAUCCUCUAAACUUGCUCUUUUUUUUUUUUUUUCAAAGUUGUGUUGUCUAUUUCAGGUUCUUUGAAUUUCUAGAAAUAUUUUAGAAUUAGUUUAAAACUUUCUACUAAAAAGCAUGGUGAGAUGUUAAAUGGGAUGGCAUUGAAUCUAUUGAUGAAUUUGGAGGGUACUGACAUUUUACUUUUAACAAUAUUGAGGCUUCCAAUUCAUGAACAUAGUAUGUACAUUUCCCUUUAUUUGGGUGUUUAAAAAUUUCUUUAAGUACUAUUUUAGGGUCUUUGGUGUACAUAUCUUUCACAACUUUUGCAUAUCUUUCCCUAAAUAUUUUAUAUUUUCUGAUGUUCUUGUAAAUAAUACUGUUUUCUCAAUUUUAAUUUUUGAUUAUUAUUACCAUUAGUAUAUUAAAAUUGAAUUUUGUAUAUUUA
Long non-coding RNA from Callithrix jacchus (white-tufted-ear marmoset), 26618 nucleotides. RefSeq lists it as uncharacterized. The record is from RefSeq and is a predicted model, not a curated record. Lineage: Eukaryota; Metazoa; Chordata; Mammalia; Primates; Cebidae.